Molecule: ribosomal RNA, 491 nt
Filed under: uncultured bacterium
Lineage: Bacteria
Description: SSU rRNA
Rfam family: Bacterial small subunit ribosomal RNA
Source: RNAcentral
AGAACGAACGCUGGCGGCGUGGAUAAGACAUGCAAGUCGAACGCGACUUACCGCGAUAGCAAUAUCAUGGUAAGUUGAGUGGCGAAAGGGUGCGUAACACGUGGGAAUUUACCAAGAAGUGGGGAAUAGCUCGACGAAAGUCGAAUUAAUACCGCAUAUGAUCGCAAGAUCAAAGCCGGGGACCGCAAGGCCUGGCGCUUUUUGAGAAGCCCGCGGCCCAUCAGCUAGUUGGCGAGGUAAAAGCUCACCAAGGCUAUGACGGGUAGCUGGUCUGAGAGGACGACCAGCCACACUGGAACUGAGACACGGUCCAGACACCUACGGGUGGCAGCAGUCGAGAAUUUUUUCACAAUGGACGAAAGUCUGAUGGAGCGACGCCGCGUGGAGGAUGAAGGUUUUCGGAUUGUAAACUCCUGUCACUGCAGAACAGGAUGUGUGUAUGAAUAGUACAUGCUAUUGAUGGUAUGGCGGUAGGAGGAAGGGACGGUACG